UUUGAAAGUGUGUAGCUCUUCUGCCUUUGUGUGCUUUCUCUCUCUCCUGCUUCCAAGUCAAGAUGUGCUGGCUUCUCCUUUGCCCUUCUGUCAUUAUUGUAAGUUUCAUGAGGCCUCGGAGCCACGCUUCCUGUAUAGCCUGCAGAACUGUGAUCAUUCCACUCUUCUGCUAAUGUCAUGUUCUGGUUCAGGGAGUCCUCCAGGGAUGGCCAUACCUUUCUCUCCAAGAGCUUUGGCGAACUCUACUCCAAUCUGAACAGGUGAGAAGAUAUAUCAGAAGAAGCUGGGGGCCCAGGAAGUGGGUCUUCUAGGGAUACGGAGACAUUCCGCUGGACGACAUUUUAAAAUGUUUCUUCCAGAGUCAUCUGCCUUGUUAACAAUCAUUUUUGUCUUAGAAGCCUGUCUUUGAUU
Molecule: long non-coding RNA, 411 nt
Filed under: Homo sapiens (human)
Lineage: Eukaryota; Metazoa; Chordata; Mammalia; Primates; Hominidae
Description: HSALNT0394037
Source: RNAcentral